GCUCCCUGGUUCUGCUGUACCAGCUCAUCCAGAAGCUACCAACACUGAGAACACUGCUCAGGGUGCAGGUGAGUCUGGCUGAUGUUCCCAGAGAGGAGGAGAGGGAGGGUGGCUGUGUCAGCACAGGCUGUGAGAAGGACCAUGAAUACACAGAUACCAUUAUGUCUUGGAGGAAGGAUGGAGGGAAGGACAUUCCCAGCCUGUGAGUAGUGUCAGUGAGCUGGGGAGUCAGGAUGCUGAGGAUCGUCCUGACCUGAGCAUUGAAGGGGGAGGGUGAGGAGGAAGAGUGGAGUCCAGGCCACGGUGCAGACACCCCAGAGCUCUGCUGAGACAGACACGCUGCAGGUCUUGCAUAUCCUCCUCCACCCCCAGGAGAAAGGGGCCCUUCAUGCAAAUUUGUUCCUCUCCUCUGGACAACCAAACCCCUCCCUGGACCCUGUGUGUCCUUCCAAUGACUGGGUGUCAUUUUUGAGAGGGGUGGGCCCGGGCUGGGCCUGGGCUGAGGCUCCCCAGGACCCAGAGAGGACCCAGCUGCUGGGCCCAGGGAGCACUGAGCAGAGACCAGGGACAGGUGUCUGGUUUCCCAGCUGAGAGACCCCACAGAUGUCUCACAUACUAACUGUGCAUAAAAUAAAAUGUACAAGAGCUGAGAACAGAUAGCGUUCAACCAUGAACUCACUUCCUAGGCUGCUCAGGAAGCCGGGUUUUCUCUUCCUACCUGAUUCCUGACUUGAUGGGCACAUUUGAUGGAGUGUUGAGUGUUUGGGAGGAUGAAUUAGCA
Non-coding RNA from Ceratotherium simum simum (southern white rhinoceros), 781 nucleotides. The record is from RefSeq and is a predicted model, not a curated record. NCBI's taxonomy places the organism in Eukaryota, Metazoa, Chordata, Mammalia, Perissodactyla, Rhinocerotidae.